GNNNGGGGCNGCAGGCUAACACAUGCAGUCGAGCGGAUGAUGGGAGCUUGCUCCCUGAUUUAGCGGCGGACGGGUGAGUAAUGCCUAGGAAUCUGCCUGGUAGUGGGGGAUAACGUUCCGAAAGGAACGCUAAUACCGCAUACGUCCUACGGGAGAAAGCAGGGGACCUUCGGGCCUUGCGCUAUCAGAUGAGCCUAGGUCGGAUUAGCUAGUUGGUGAGGUAAUGGCUCACCAAGGCGACGAUCCGUAACUGGUCUGAGAGGAUGAUCAGUCACACUGGAACUGAGACACGGUCCAGACUCCUACGGGAGGCAGCAGUGGGGAAUAUUGGACAAUGGGCGAAAGCCUGAUCCAGCCAUGCCGCGUGUGUGAAGAAGGUCUUCGGAUUGUAAAGCACUUUAAGUUGGGAGGAAGGGCAGUAACCUAAUACGUUAUUGUUUUGACGUUACCGACAGAAUAAGCACCGGCUAACUUCGUGCCAGCAGCCGCGGUAAUACGAAGGGUGCAAGCGUUAAUCGGAAUUACUGGGCGUAAAGCGCGCGUAGGUGGUUCAGUAAGUUGGAAGUGAAAUCCCCGGGCUCAACCUGGGAACUGCUUUCAAAACUGCUGAGCUAGAGUACGGUAGAGGGUGGUGGAAUUUCCUGUGUAGCGGUGAAAUGCGUAGAUAUAGGAAGGAACACCAGUGGCGAGGGCGACCACCUGGACUGAUACUGACACUGAGGUGCGAAAGCGUGGGGAGCAAACAGGAUUAGAUACCCUGGUAGUCCACGCCGUAAACGAUGUCAACUAGCCGUUGGGAGUCUUGAACUCUUAGUGGCGCAGCUAACGCAUUAAGUUGACCGCCUGGGGAGUACGGCCGCAAGGUUAAAACUCAAAUGAAUUGACGGGGGCCCGCACAAGCGGUGGAGCAUGUGGUUUAAUUCGAGCACGCGAGACCUUACCUGGNCUUG
RNAcentral lists this ribosomal RNA (950 nucleotides) under uncultured bacterium. RNAcentral's name for it is "bacterial SSU rRNA". It matches the Rfam family "Bacterial small subunit ribosomal RNA", at positions 35 to 983 of the family's 1533-position model. The record is from RNAcentral.